RNAcentral lists this ribosomal RNA (464 nucleotides) under uncultured Thiobacillus sp. RNAcentral's name for it is "bacterial SSU rRNA". It matches the Rfam family "Bacterial small subunit ribosomal RNA", at positions 912 to 1382 of the family's 1533-position model. Lineage: Bacteria; Pseudomonadati; Pseudomonadota; Betaproteobacteria; Nitrosomonadales; Thiobacillaceae. The record is from RNAcentral.
GACGGGGACCCGCACAAGCGUGGAUGAUGUGGAUUAAUUCGAUGCAACGCGAAGAACCUUACCUACCCUUGACAUGUCCGGAACUUGCCAGAGAUGGCUUGGUGCCCGAAAGGGAAUCGGAACACAGGUGCUGCAUGGCUGUCGUCAGCUCGUGUCGUGAGAUGUUGGGUUAAGUCCCGCAACGAGCGCAACCCUUAUCAUUAGUUGCUACGCAAGGGCACUCUAAUGAGACUGCCGGUGACAAACCGGAGGAAGUGGGGAUGACGUCAAGUCCUCAUGGCCCUUAUGGGUAGGGCUUCACACGUCAUACAAUGGUCGGUACAGAGGGUUGCCAAGCCGCGAGGCGGAGCCAAUCCCACAAAGCCGAUCGUAGUCCGGAUUGUUCUCUGCAACUCGAGAGCAUGAAGUCGGAAUCGCUAGUAAUCGCAGGUCAGCAUACUGCGGUGAAUACGUUCCCGGGUCUU